This 888-nucleotide ribosomal RNA is filed under the name uncultured Chloroflexota bacterium. RNAcentral describes it as "bacterial SSU rRNA". It matches the Rfam family "Bacterial small subunit ribosomal RNA", at positions 28 to 895 of the family's 1533-position model. Lineage: Bacteria; Bacillati; Chloroflexota. The record is from RNAcentral.
GAUGAACGCUGGCGGCGUGCCUGACACAUGCAAGUCGAACGAAUCGAGGGGCCGUUGAUCGGGUUUCGGAAGGGUUCGUCCCGGAAGAGCCCGUGAGGUUCCUUGGUUAGUGGCGAACGGGUGAGUAACACGUAGGUGACCUGCCCCGAAGAGGGGGAUAACCACUGGAAACGGUGGCUAAUACCCCGGUGGUUCCGCAUUCGGUUGCGGGAUUAAAGGCUCCGGCGCUUCGGGAGGGGCCUGCGGCCUAUCAGCUAGUUGGUAGGGUAAUGGCCUACCAAGGCUAUGACGGGUAGCUGGUCUGAGAGGACGCACAGCCACACUGGCACUGAGACACGGGCCAGACUCCUACGGGAGGCAGCAGUGAGGGAUAUUGCGCAAUGGGGGAAACCCUGACGCAGCAACGCCGCGUGGGCGAAGAAGGUUUUCGGAUCGUAAAGCCCUUUUCUCUCGGACGAGGAAGGACGGUACGGGAGGAAUAAGCGUCGGCUAACUACGUGCCAGCAGCUGCGGUAAAACGUAGGACGCAAGCGUUAUCCGGAUUUAUUGGGCGUAAAGGGCGUCUAGGCGGCGUCUUAAGUUGGGCGUGAAAUCUUCCGGCUCAACCGGAAGGGUGCGUUCAAUACUGGGACGCUUGAGGGCAGCAGAGGGAGGUGGAAUUCCCGGUGUAGCGGUGGAAUGCGUAGAUAUCGGGAGGAACACCAGUGGCGAAGGCGGCCUCCUGGGCUGUACCUGACGCUGAAGCGCGAAAGCGUGGGGAGCAAACGGGAUUAGAUACCCCGGUAGUCCACGCCGUAAACGAUGGAUACUAGGUGUUGGUGGUAUUGACCCCAUCAGUGCCGCAGCUAACGCAAUAAGUAUCCCGCCUGGGGACACGGCCGCAAGGCU